RNAcentral lists this ribosomal RNA (253 nucleotides) under uncultured bacterium. RNAcentral's name for it is "partial 16S ribosomal RNA". It matches the Rfam family "Bacterial small subunit ribosomal RNA", at positions 524 to 776 of the family's 1533-position model. The record is from RNAcentral.
UACGUAGGGUGCGAGCGUUGCCCGGAAUUAUUGGGCGUAAAGAGCGCGUAGGCGGUCCGAUAAGUCGGCUGUGAAAGUCAAGGGCUCAACCCUUGAAAGCCGGCCGAUACUGUCGGACUAGAGUCCGGAAGAGGCGAGUGGAAUUCCCGGUGUAGCGGUGAAAUGCGCAGAUAUCGGGAGGAACACCAAUGGCGAAGGCAGCUCGCUGGGACGGUACUGACGCUGAGGCACGAAGGUCAGGGGAGCAAACGGG